CCUACGGGUGGCAGCAGUGGGGGAUAUUGCACAAUGGGGGAAACCCUGAUGCAGCGACGCCGCGUGGGCGAAGAAGUACCUCGGUAUGUAAAGCCCUAUCAGCCGGGAAGAAGAAAUGACGGUCUCUGAGUAAGAAGCACUGGCUAAAUACGUGCCAGCAGCCGCGGUAAUACGUAUGGUCCAAGCGUUAUCCGGAUUUACUGGGUGUAACGGGAGCGCAGGCGGCACGGAAAGCGUGAUGGGAAAGCCCGGGGCCCAACCGCGGGACUGCAUUGGGAACUGCCGGGCUGGAGUGACGGAGAGGUAGGCGGAAUUCGUGGUGUAGCGGUGAAAUGCGUAGAUAUUAGGAGGAACACCAGUGGCGAAGGCGGCCUACUGGACGGUGACUGACGCUGAGGCUCGAAAGCGUGGGGAGCAAACAGGAUUAGAUACCCCUGUAGUC
Molecule: ribosomal RNA, 442 nt
Filed under: uncultured bacterium
Lineage: Bacteria
Description: partial 16S ribosomal RNA
Rfam family: Bacterial small subunit ribosomal RNA
Source: RNAcentral